Pelobates cultripes (western spadefoot toad) is the source of this 586-nucleotide non-coding RNA. The record is from the annotation of a GenBank genome assembly. NCBI's taxonomy places the organism in Eukaryota, Metazoa, Chordata, Amphibia, Anura, Pelobatidae.
GGCACAGAAUCUAAUCCCAGAACCAAUAGAUACUGAAAAUGUAUCCUCACAGAGUGAUUUGCAGAAAUGCAAAUUUCAAGACAGAACUGCAAAACUUAAUUUGAAGAUCCAUGAACAAUUAAUGAAAAUUGUGAAAUGUAUUCCAGUUUAUGACACGUCAGUGGAUGCAUUCACUAAUGCUGAAAUGUUUGAGUCUAAUUUAGACAAAUACAGCCUAAAUGACGAACAAAGGAAUAGACUAUUUCAAAUAUGGCUGCCGACUCAAAUGGCAUGUAGGCUGACCGCGCCUGUAAAAUUCGAGGACAAUGAUGAAAUAAUAUAUGGAAAUAAGCAAGACAGAUUAACACAAUUAAUAAAAUUAACAACAGGGAAUGAUUUUGCAGACACUGAAAUGUUGGAAAAACUAAAACCACACAAGGGGGAGGAUAUAUUUAGUUUUCUUGCAAAAUUUGAAAGUGCAUAUAGACUUGUUGCUGAUUUUUCUGAAGAUCAGUUAAUUAAUGAAUUUGUGAAAAAAUUUCAAGAUCUAGAUCCAACUGCAAUUGUGUUAGCUAGAGAAAAAAGCACUUUGACAGAGGUAGCUUUG